This 501-nucleotide ribosomal RNA is filed under the name uncultured bacterium. RNAcentral describes it as "partial 16S ribosomal RNA". It matches the Rfam family "Bacterial small subunit ribosomal RNA", at positions 29 to 523 of the family's 1533-position model. The record is from RNAcentral.
AUUGAACGCUGGCGGCAUGCCUUACACAUGCAAGUCGAACGGCAGCACGGGUGCUUGCACCUGGUGGCGAGUGGCGAACGGGUGAGUAAUACAUCGGAACGUACCUUAUCGUGGGGGAUAACGCAGCGAAAGCUGUGCUAAUACCGCAUAAGCCCUGAGGGGGAAAGCGGGGGAUCGAAAGACCUCGCGCGAUUAGAGCGGCCGAUGCCUGAUUAGCUUGUUGGUGGGGUAAAAGCCCACCAAGGCGACGAUCAGUAGCUGGUCUGAGAGGACGAUCAGCCACACUGGGACUGAGACACGGCCCAGACUCCUAUGGGAGGCAGCAGUGGGGAAUUUUGGACAAUGGGGGCAACCCUGAUCCAGCAAUGCCGCGUGAGUGAAGAAGGCCUUCGGGUUGUAAAGCUCUUCUGUCAGGGAAGAAACACCGGCUCUAACACAGUCCGGGAAUGACGGUACCUGAAGAAUAAGCACCGGCUAACUACGUGCCAGCCGCCGCAGUAA